RNAcentral lists this signal recognition particle RNA (72 nucleotides) under Holosporales bacterium. RNAcentral's name for it is "signal recognition particle sRNA small type". It matches the Rfam family "Bacterial small signal recognition particle RNA". From Rfam's summary of the family: The signal recognition particle (SRP) is a universally conserved ribonucleoprotein involved in the co-translational targeting of proteins to membranes. Archaeal SRP consists of a 7S RNA and homologues of the eukaryotic SRP19 and SRP54 proteins. In most bacteria, the SRP consists of a 4.5S RNA and the Ffh protein (a homologue of the eukaryotic SRP54 protein). Lineage: Bacteria; Pseudomonadati; Pseudomonadota; Alphaproteobacteria; Holosporales. The record is from RNAcentral.
AUUUGCGGAAAUGGCCGUAAACCUGGUCAGAGCAGAAAUGCAGCAGCCAUAGCGGUUUAUUUUCGGGUUUUG